RNAcentral lists this unclassified non-coding RNA (262 nucleotides) under rhizosphere metagenome. Its description in RNAcentral is "partial ribosomal RNA internal transcribed spacer region". The record is from RNAcentral.
GAAAUAAAUCUGGCGGGUUGCUGCUGGUUCUCUAGGGAGCAUGUGCACACUUGUCAUCUUUAUAUCUCCACCUGUGCACCUUUUGUAGACCUGGAUCUCUCUCUGAAUGCUAGCCAUUCAGGAUUGAGGAUUGACUUCAUGUCUCUCCUUCCAUUUCCAGGCCUAUGUUUCUUCAUAUACUCUAAUGUAUGUUAAAGAAUGUAAUCAAUGGCCUUUGUGCCUAUAAACCUAUACAACUUUCAGCAACGGAUCUCUUGGCUCU